AACGAACGCUGGCGGCAGGCCUAACACAUGCAAGUCGAGCGCGCCCUUCGGGGUGAGCGGCGGACGGGUGAGUAACGCGUGGGAACGUGCCCUUUUCUACGGAAUAGCCUCGGGAAACUGAGAGUAAUACCGUAUACGCCCUUUGGGGGAAAGAUUUAUCGGAAAAGGAUCGGCCCGCGUUGGAUUAGGUAGUUGGUGGGGUAAUGGCCUACCAAGCCGACGAUCCAUAGCUGGUUUGAGAGGAUGAUCAGCCACACUGGGACUGAGACACGGCCCAGACUCCUACGGGAGGCAGCAGUGGGGAAUCUUAGACAAUGGGGGCAACCCUGAUCUAGCCAUGCCGCGUGAGUGAUGAGGGCCUUAGGGUUGUAAAGCUCUUUCAGCUGGGAAGAUAAUGACGGUACCAGCAGAAGAAGCCCCGGCUAACUCCGUG
RNAcentral lists this ribosomal RNA (433 nucleotides) under uncultured bacterium. RNAcentral describes it as "partial 16S ribosomal RNA". It matches the Rfam family "Bacterial small subunit ribosomal RNA", at positions 29 to 507 of the family's 1533-position model. The record is from RNAcentral.